AGUUCCAGGGUUUGACUCCCAAGUCUGGCUCUCUCCAUUCCUGAAUUUUCUUGAUGUUACCAUGUAUACAUAACUUCUCUCACUCCCUACACACAGAGAAAAUCCCCAUUUGACAAUAAAUCUCCAAGCAGGCAGGGGUGGUAGAAAGAGAAUCAGAAUCACCAGCAAUGAACGACCUAUGAUGCUGGUUUUCAUAGGAUCCACUUGGUGAUGAAACUGAGCCCCAAGAAGGGGAAGAAACUUGUCUAAGGUCUAGUGGUCUAGCCAAGACUCAAACUCAGGGCCUGUGACUCCAGAUUCAUUGAACUUCCUCCUGUGCUGCCCAACUUCCCACACCAGCAUCAUUCUGAUCCCCCAGCUCAGGCUCUUCCACUCCUCCAGAAAACCCUCCCCAC
This 395-nucleotide long non-coding RNA is filed under the name Monodelphis domestica (gray short-tailed opossum). Its description in RNAcentral is "lncRNA (ENSMODG00000046241.1)". The record is from RNAcentral. Lineage: Eukaryota; Metazoa; Chordata; Mammalia; Didelphimorphia; Didelphidae.